This 478-nucleotide ribosomal RNA is filed under the name uncultured bacterium. RNAcentral describes it as "bacterial SSU rRNA". It matches the Rfam family "Bacterial small subunit ribosomal RNA", at positions 501 to 981 of the family's 1533-position model. The record is from RNAcentral.
CUACGUGCCAGCAGCCGCGGUAAUACGGAAGGUCCAGGCGUUAUCCGGAUUUAUUGGGUUUAAAGGGAGCGCAGGCGGGAGUAUAAGUCAGCUGUUAAAUAUCAGGGCCCAACUCUGUUAUGCAGUUGAAACUAUAUUUCUUGAGUACGCACAGGGAUGGCGGAAUUCAGGGUGUAGCGGUGAAAUGCUUAGAUAUCCUGAAGAACUCCGAUCGCGAAGGCAGCCAUCCGGAGCGUAACUGACGCUGAGGCUCGAAGGUGCGGGUAUCGAACAGGAUUAGAUACCCUGGUAGUCCGCACGGUAAACGAUGAAUACUCGCAGUUCGGCCUUUUAGGUCGAGUUGUCCAGCGAAAGCGUUAAGUAUUCCACCUGGGGAGUACGCCGGCAACGGUGAAACUCAAAGGAAUUGACGGGGGCCCGCACAAGCGGAGGAACAUGUGGUUUAAUUCGAUGAUACGCGAGGAACCUUACCCGGGCU